AACUACCUGAAUUACGUAUGAUUACCUGCUGAACUUAAGCAUAUCAGUAAGCAGAGGAAAAGAAACAAACAUGGAUUCCCCCAGUAACUGCGAGUGAAAAGGGAGGUGCCCAUCGCUAAAGGUUUGCGUUCGUUUGAGCGUAGACCGGUGUAGCGUAUAGAACUUGUGUUUGAUGCAGUGCGGUUGGUCUAAGUCUCGUUGGAAUACGGCGACUCAGACGGUUUCAUCCCGGUAUGACCGAUCGCGUUGUGUUGAGUGUUUGUUCUGGGAGUCGGGUUGUUUGGAAACGCAGCCCAAAGUUGGUGGUAAACUUCACCUAAGGCUAAAUAUGACCACGAAACCGAUAGAAUACAAGUACCGUGAGGGAAGU
RNAcentral lists this ribosomal RNA (370 nucleotides) under Bursaphelenchus platzeri. Its description in RNAcentral is "eukaryotic LSU rRNA". It matches the Rfam family "Eukaryotic large subunit ribosomal RNA", at positions 1 to 363 of the family's 3401-position model. Lineage: Eukaryota; Metazoa; Nematoda; Chromadorea; Rhabditida; Aphelenchoididae. The record is from RNAcentral.